Molecule: ribosomal RNA, 374 nt
Filed under: uncultured organism
Description: bacterial SSU rRNA
Rfam family: Bacterial small subunit ribosomal RNA
Source: RNAcentral
CAGAGGGUGCGAGCGUUGUUCGGAAUUACUGGGCGUAAAGCGCGCGUAGGCGGCUCUUUAAGUCUUGCCGUGAAAUGCCGGGGCUCAACCCCGUGCACGUCGGGGGAUACUGGGGAGCUGGAGACGAGUAGAGGCGAGCGGAAUUCCGGGUGUAGCGGUGGAAUGCGUAGAGAUCCGGAAGAACACCAGAGGCGAAGGCGGCUCGCUGGGCUCGGUCUGACGCUGAGGCGCGAAAGCGUGGGGAGCGAACAGGAUUAGAUACCCUGGUAGUCCACGCCGUAAACGAUGGAUGCUAGACGCUGGGGGGAUCGACCCCUUCGGUGUCGCAGCUAACGCGAUAAGCAUCCCGCCUGGGGAGUACGGCCGCAAGGCUG